Arabidopsis thaliana (thale cress) is the source of this 221-nucleotide long non-coding RNA. RefSeq annotates it as other RNA. The record is from RefSeq. The transcript has a single exon. NCBI's taxonomy places the organism in Eukaryota, Viridiplantae, Streptophyta, Magnoliopsida, Brassicales, Brassicaceae.
AAGAUUCGACAUUGUCUUUAGGAAGUGUUUCACCUGCUUCUCUAUGUCUUCGUCGUCAUAAGAUCACCAAAGAGUAUUUCCUUCCCCCCCCCCUCCAACGUUUGCAUAAACACCCAUCCUCGUUGCACAUUGUUUAGUACGUAUAUUCGUUAUGCAGAUAAAAAGAGACUAUUUCAAAAUUUAUUUAUGUGUAAAAGCAAAUCAAUUGUUAAUGUGAAUAA